RNAcentral lists this ribosomal RNA (492 nucleotides) under uncultured bacterium. RNAcentral's name for it is "partial 16S ribosomal RNA". It matches the Rfam family "Bacterial small subunit ribosomal RNA", at positions 29 to 507 of the family's 1533-position model. The record is from RNAcentral.
AGUGAACGCUGGCGGUAGGCCUAACACAUGCAAGUCGAACGGCAGCACAGUAAGAGCUUGCUCUUACGGGUGGCGAGUGGCGGACGGGUGAGGAAUACAUCGGAAUCUACUUUUUCGUGGGGGAUAACGUAGGGAAACUUACGCUAAUACCGCAUACGACCUACGGGUGAAAGCAGGGGAUCUUCGGACCUUGCGCGAUUGAAUGAGCCGAUGUCGGAUUAGCUAGUUGGCGGGGUAAAGGCCCACCAAGGCGACGAUCCGUAGCUGGUCUGAGAGGAUGAUCAGCCGCACUGGAACUGAGACACGGUCCAGACUCCUACGGGAGGCAGCAGUGGGGAAUAUUGGACAAUGGGCGCAAGCCUGAUCCAGCCAUACCGCGUGGGUGAAGAAGGCCUUCGGGUUGUAAAGCCCUUCUGUUGGGAAAGAAAAGCAGCAGGUUAAUACCCCGCUGUUCUGACGGUACCCAAAGAAUAAGCACCGGCUAACUUCGUG